Long non-coding RNA from Lytechinus pictus (painted urchin), 477 nucleotides. RefSeq lists it as uncharacterized. The transcript has 2 exons. The record is from RefSeq and is a predicted model, not a curated record. NCBI's taxonomy places the organism in Eukaryota, Metazoa, Echinodermata, Echinoidea, Temnopleuroida, Toxopneustidae.
UGUGUAAAUCGAAGAGAGAGAGAAGGGGAAAAAAUCACUGUUUUGUUGAUAGCACAUCAGCUUCACUUUGAACUUGCAGGAUUUCAGUAUCAUCUAGCUAUAAGAAGGGAUAAGACUUCGACAUUGCAUCUUCGUCCUUUCGAUCGAGGUGGUGGACUCUUUUUUUGGAACAUCAACAUCUCCUUCCGAUAGCUUGAUACGACACUCGGAAAGAGCGGAUUCAUUCGACGUCUUACACCCUUUCAAGCGUGAUGAAACAUAUCAAAAGUUUUUCUUUUUUCAAUCUUAAGCAAGAAUCCGCCCAUUCCUUGGAAUUAUUCAACAAUGUACUGGACUUUUGAUAUGCAUACAGUAUAUAUUUAACGUACAUCUAGCUGCAAAUGUUUUGACGAUGAAUUUCUGUAAUGAAUUUGUUUCUGAGUUUCAUUCGAAAGCUCUUAAACGUAAAACGAGACAAAUAAAAUGCUAUGCUGUAAA